AGCCACUUAAAUCAGUAGACCAGACUAAACAUGUAGAUCCACAGGCGGAUUGCUGGCGGACGGGGGUUCGAUUCCCCCCGCCUCCACCA
RNAcentral lists this transfer-messenger RNA (89 nucleotides) under Alcanivorax sp. RNAcentral's name for it is "partial transfer-messenger RNA". It matches the Rfam family "transfer-messenger RNA", at positions 284 to 374 of the family's 374-position model. Rfam says of the family: Bacterial tmRNA, also known as 10Sa RNA or SsrA, is named for its dual tRNA and mRNA-like properties. The record is from RNAcentral. Lineage: Bacteria; Pseudomonadati; Pseudomonadota; Gammaproteobacteria; Oceanospirillales; Alcanivoracaceae.